RNAcentral lists this ribosomal RNA (497 nucleotides) under uncultured bacterium. Its description in RNAcentral is "partial 16S ribosomal RNA". It matches the Rfam family "Bacterial small subunit ribosomal RNA", at positions 28 to 507 of the family's 1533-position model. The record is from RNAcentral.
GAUGAACGCUGGCGGCGUGCCUAAUACAUGCAAGUCGAGCGAACAGACGAGGAGCUUGCUCCUCUGACGUUAGCGGCGGACGGGUGAGUAACACGUGGAUAACCUACCUAUAAGACUGGGAUAACUUCGGGAAACCGGAGCUAAUACCGGAUAAUAUAUUGAACCGCAUGGUUCAAUAGCGAAAGACGGUUUUGCUGUCACUUAUAGAUGGAUCCGCGCCGCAUUAGCUAGUUGGUAAGGUAACGGCUUACCAAGGCAACGAUGCGUAGCCGACCUGAGAGGGGGAUCGGCCACACUGGAACUGAGACACGGUCCAGACUCCUACGGGAGGCAGCAGUAGGGAAUCUUCCGCAAUGGGCGAAAGCCUGACGGAGCAACGCCGCGUGAGUGAUGAAGGUCUUCGGAUCGUAAAACUCUGUUAUUAGGGAAGAACAAAUGUGUAAGUAACUAUGCACGUCUUGACGGUACCUAAUCAGAAAGCCACGGCUAACUACGUG